RNAcentral lists this ribosomal RNA (763 nucleotides) under Blondelia hyphantriae. RNAcentral's name for it is "SSU rRNA". It matches the Rfam family "Eukaryotic small subunit ribosomal RNA", at positions 501 to 1196 of the family's 1831-position model. Lineage: Eukaryota; Metazoa; Arthropoda; Insecta; Diptera; Tachinidae. The record is from RNAcentral.
CCCUGUAAUUGGAAUGAGUACACUUUAAAUCCUUUAACAAGGACCUAUUGGAGGGCAAGUCUGGUGCCAGCAGCCGCGGUAACUCCAGCUCCAAUAGCGUAUAUUAAAGUUGUUGCGGUUAAAACGUUCGUAGUUGAACUUGUGCUUCAUGCGGGUAGUACAACUAUAAUUGUAGCCUGUACUGUACCUUAUGUAUGUAAGCGUAUUACCGGUGGAGUUCUUAUAUGUGUUAAGUACUUGUAUUUUUCACAUGUUCCUCCUAUUUAAACCUGCUUCAGUGCUCUUCAUCGAGUGUUGUUGUGGGCCGGUACAAUUACUUUGAACAAAUUAGAGUGCUUAAAGCAGGCUCCAAAUGCCUGAAUAUUUUGUGCAUGGAAUAAUGAAAUAAGACCUCUGUUCUACUUUCAUUGGUUUUUAGAUCAAGAGGUAAUGAUUAAUAGAAGCAGUUUGGGGGCAUUAGUAUUACGACGCGAGAGGUGAAAUUCUUGGACCGUCGUAAGACUAACUUAAGCGAAAGCAUUUGCCAAAGAUGUUUUCAUUAAUCAAGAACGAAAGUUAGAGGUUCGAAGGCGAUCAGAUACCGCCCUAGUUCUAACCAUAAACGAUGCCAGCUAGCAAUUGGGUGUAGCUACUUUCAUGGCUCUCUCAGUCGCUUCCCGGGAAACCAAAGCUUUUGGGCUCCGGGGGAAGUAUGGUUGCAAAGCUGAAACUUAAAGGAAUUGACGGAAGGGCACCACCAGGAGUGGAGCCUGCGGCUUAAUUU